AUUGAACGCUGGCGGCAGGCCUAACACAUGCAAGUCGAGCGAGCGGCGGACGGGUGAGUAAUGUAUGGGGACUGCCCGAUAGAGGGGGAUAACUACUGGAAACGGUGGCUAAUACCGCAUACUAUCGGAUAACCCAUAUGGGAUUAGCUAGUAGGUGGGGUAAAGGCUCACCUAGGCGACGAUCUCUAGCUGGUCUGAGAGGAUGAUCAGCCACACUGGGACUGAGACACGGCCCAGACUCCUACGGAGGCAGCAGUGGGGAAUAUUGCACAAUGGGCGAAAGCCUGAUGGAGCCAUGCCGCGUGAAUGAAGAAGGCUUUAGGGUUGUAAAGUACUUUCAGCAGGGAAGCGUUACCCGAAGAAGAAGCACCGGCUAACUACGUGCCAGCCGCCGCGGUAAUAC
This 403-nucleotide ribosomal RNA is filed under the name uncultured bacterium. Its description in RNAcentral is "partial 16S ribosomal RNA". It matches the Rfam family "Bacterial small subunit ribosomal RNA", at positions 30 to 526 of the family's 1533-position model. The record is from RNAcentral.